GAUGAACGCUGGCGGCGUGCCUAAUACAUGCAAGUCGAGCGAAUGGAUUAAGAGCUUGCUCUUAUGAAGUUAGCGGCGGACGGGUGAGUAACACGUGGGUAACCUGCCCAUAAGACUGGGAUAACUCCGGGAAACCGGGGCUAAUACCGGAUAACAUUUUGAACCGCAUGGGUCGAAAUUGAAAGGCCGCUUCGGCUGUCACUUAUGGAUGGUCCCGCGUCGCAUUAGCUAGUUGGGGAGGUAACGGCUCACCAAGGCAACGAUGCGUAGCCGACCUGAGAGGGUGAUCGGCCACACUGGGACUGAGACACGGCCCAGACUCCUACGGGAGGCAGCAGUAGGGAAUCUUCCGCAAUGGACGAAAGUCUGACGGAGCAACGCCGCGUGAGUGAUGAAGGCUUUCGGGUCGUAAAACUCUGUUGUUAGGGAAGAACAAGUGCUAGUUGAAUAAGCUGGCACCUUGACGGUACCUAACCAGAAAGCCACGGCUAACUACGUGCCAGCAGCCGCCGUAA
This 515-nucleotide ribosomal RNA is filed under the name uncultured bacterium. RNAcentral's name for it is "partial 16S ribosomal RNA". It matches the Rfam family "Bacterial small subunit ribosomal RNA", at positions 28 to 523 of the family's 1533-position model. The record is from RNAcentral.